This 563-nucleotide ribosomal RNA is filed under the name Triticum aestivum (bread wheat). RNAcentral describes it as "partial small subunit ribosomal RNA". The record is from RNAcentral. Lineage: Eukaryota; Viridiplantae; Streptophyta; Magnoliopsida; Poales; Poaceae.
UGCAAAUUUAUCUUUUUGUUGGUUGUUUGUUGCUUCUUGCUUCUUGCAGCAUCCCGACUACAUAUGUGAGGCUAUGGGAGUCCUUUUUUCGUGUAAUGAUGAGAGGAAUAUGACAAGACAACCAAUUGUACCAUGUGAACACAAUCGCUGGGACAAGCUGGUCAAGACAGGAAAAUCUAAAAGAAUGCGACUAAAAUCAAUAUUUGAAGGUACAACCUGUAUUAUGUUACUGCAGAAAUUAAUAUUGUGGUUUGUUAUUGGGAAUCAUGAGUUUCCUGGCAAUGAGACCCAUUAGUUAGAAUCUAUUGUGCUGGGAUCUUUGCUUCACAUCCCAUAUGUGCCAAGUUACUGGUAGAACUGUGUAUCGAAUUUAUUGUGCUGGAAUUUAUUGUGCUUUGGCACACACUCACUUAUAAUCAGGGCUCGCUUAAUUUUAUCUUUCUAAUUCUUUUGAGAAAUACCAUAUCAAUAUUAUUUGUGAUGACUUGUUAGUCAUAAUUUCCAGUCAUGUAAUAUCCCAUUAUAUUAUUAGUAUUAGGCGUUAGCCAGAUACUAAUCUUCGG